CAGUCGCCGCGGUAAUACGAAGGGGGCUAGCGUUGUUCGGAAUUACUGGGCGUAAAGCGCGCGCAGGUGGUUUAAUAAGUCUGAUGUGAAAGCCCACAGCUCAACCGUGGAGGGUCAUUGGAAACUGUUAAACUUGAGUGCAGGAGAGAAAAGUGGAAUUCCUAGUGUAGCGGUGAAAUGCGUAGAGAUUAGGAGGAACACCAGUGGCGAAGGCGGCUUUUUGGCCUGUAACUGACACUGAGGCGCGAAAGCGUGGGGAGCAAACAGGAUUAGAUACCCCAGUAGUCCCUGUCUCUUAUAC
RNAcentral lists this ribosomal RNA (301 nucleotides) under uncultured bacterium. RNAcentral's name for it is "partial 16S ribosomal RNA". It matches the Rfam family "Bacterial small subunit ribosomal RNA", at positions 509 to 807 of the family's 1533-position model. The record is from RNAcentral.